UACGGGGGGGGCAAGCGUUGUUCGGAAUUACUGGGCGUAAAGGGCGCGUAGGCGGCUUGAUGUGUCAAAGGUGAAAUCCCUCGGCUCAACUGAGGAACUGCCUUUGAAACUGUCUGGCUUGAGGCCGGGAGAGGGUAGCGGAAUUCCCAGUGUAGCGGUGAAAUGCGUAGAUACUGGGAGGAACACCGGUGGCGAAGGCGGCUACCUGGACCGGUUCUGACGCUGAUGCGCGAAAGCGUGGGUAGCAAACAGG
Molecule: ribosomal RNA, 253 nt
Filed under: uncultured bacterium
Lineage: Bacteria
Description: partial 16S ribosomal RNA
Rfam family: Bacterial small subunit ribosomal RNA
Source: RNAcentral